RNAcentral lists this long non-coding RNA (550 nucleotides) under Populus trichocarpa (black cottonwood). Its description in RNAcentral is "long non-coding RNA (PTRI_LNC003560)". The record is from RNAcentral. Lineage: Eukaryota; Viridiplantae; Streptophyta; Magnoliopsida; Malpighiales; Salicaceae.
GGUGGCAUUAUUGGAGGAGUCACUGGAGGCUUUGGUGGUGGAAGAGUUGGUGGUGUUGGUGGUGUUGGUGGCAUUAUUGGAGGAGUCACUGGAGGCUUUGGUGGUGGAAGAGUUGGUGGUGUUGGUGGCAUUAUUGGAGGAGUCACUGGAGGCUUUGGUGGUGGAAGAGUUGGUGGUGUUGGUGGCUUUAUUGGAGGAGUCACUGGAGGCUUUGGUGGUGGAAGAGUUGGUGGUGGAAGAGCUGGAGGUGUUGGUGGCUUUAUUGGAGGAAUCACUGGAGGCUUUGGUGGUGGAAGAGCUGGUGGUGUUGGUGGCAGAACUGGUGGUUUGGGCACAUAUGGUGGUUUUGGUAUGAAGGGCGGAUGCACAAUGGGUGGUUUCGGUUUGAAGGGCGGAUGCACAAUGGGUGGUUUCGGUUUGAAGGGCGGAUGCACAAUGGGUGGUUUCGGUGUAUAGGGCGGAUGCACAAUGGGUGGUUUCGGUUUAAACGGGGGAUGUACAAUGGGAGGUUUGGGAACAACAGGCGGCUUAGGUGGGUGGGGUUUGGGGG